Molecule: small RNA, 146 nt
Filed under: Marmota monax (woodchuck)
Lineage: Eukaryota; Metazoa; Chordata; Mammalia; Rodentia; Sciuridae
Source: RNAcentral
AUUGGGUGUGGUGGCUCACGCCUGUAAUCCCAGCAACUCAGGAGACUGAGACAGGAGGAUCACAAGUUCAAUUUAGCAAGCUCCUAAGGAUCACAGCUACAGCAAUUUAGUAAGGUCCUAAGCAACUUAGUGAGACCCUGUCUCAA